RNAcentral lists this transfer RNA (72 nucleotides) under Variola louti (yellow-edged lyretail). RNAcentral's name for it is "tRNA-Val". It matches the Rfam family "tRNA". From Rfam's summary of the family: Transfer RNA (tRNA) molecules are approximately 80 nucleotides in length. Their secondary structure includes four short double-helical elements and three loops (D, anti-codon, and T loops). Further hydrogen bonds mediate the characteristic L-shaped molecular structure. tRNAs have two regions of fundamental functional importance: the anti-codon, which is responsible for specific mRNA codon recognition, and the 3' end, to which the tRNAs corresponding amino acid is attached (by aminoacyl-tRNA synthetases). tRNAs cope with the degeneracy of the genetic code in two manners: having more than one tRNA (with a specific anti-codon) for a particular amino acid; and 'wobble' base-pairing, i.e. permitting non-standard base-pairing at the 3rd anti-codon position. The record is from RNAcentral. Lineage: Eukaryota; Metazoa; Chordata; Actinopteri; Perciformes; Serranidae.
GCGAGGUUUGGCGUAAUAGUAACGCGCCUCAUUUACGCUGAGGAGUUAUUCGUGCAAAGCGGAUCGCCUUGA